AUUAGACAGCUUUGAAUAUUCCACUCAGCAGCUCUGCCCUCUUUAUGUAGGCCUGUACAUUCAGACCCUUUGUGGUGAUGGACUUCACAAACUGGAGGAGAUUGCUGGAAUCCUCACUGCAAACAAUAUUCAAUAUUCAAAGUUCCACCUUCAGUCCUUUCCCCCUCACAGAUGGAUCAGCAUGGAGCCAUUCAGGACAAGGAGAGAGGUAAGAAUUCAUCUUCCUCUUUUUGUGUGGAACCGCUAGGCCUCUCCAGUUUUCAACAGCGUCUUUGUUUGUUGGAUGGACACAGUGACAGUAUCAGACUGUGGUGGGUAGUGUAUUGGCUCCUGUGACGAUCGCUGUUCCAAAAGCUGCAUCCUCUUUACCUUUUUCCUUAGCUUUUUGUUUUGCAGAACAAAUCCGCAUGUUGCCUUCAGUGAAGGAACUCAGAGCCCGUCUCCAAGUCGACACAUCGCAGGGUGAUCUUUACACUUAGACUUUUUGGUUACUAAAAACUGUUUUAGAUAGACAAGUGAUAACUCUAUAAUUACUACAAAAAUACUGAGAAAACUCCUCAGACCUGGAUGAGAAUGAGCAAACUUCUUUAUUGGGGUCAAUCAGCCAACAAUCUUUUAAAAGAAAUUGCCAAAUUGAAAGUAACAAACUAGAACGGUUCAUUUCCUAAAGAAAAUGUGAAUGUGCUUGCACGUGGCAAGUUCCCCUCAUCGUGCUGAGUGUCUUGAUAUGUCACAUAUCCAUGUUGUGCUAAAUUGUUUUGAUUUCGCUCGAAUUUUAGGAAUUUCCCAUUUAUUUCUAUGGGACUUUAUUGGCCGCUUUUUCGUCAGCUGUGUGAACAUCAUUGGUCAGACCGCUUAUAAAAACCAUAGCACACCUCUCCUCAAUGAACCGGUCGAUUUGACACCUCAUUUAUGGGUCUAGGACAAAAGCUGCGGGACAAGUUACGCACCG
Molecule: long non-coding RNA, 952 nt
Organism: Tachysurus fulvidraco (yellow catfish)
Lineage: Eukaryota; Metazoa; Chordata; Actinopteri; Siluriformes; Bagridae
Exons: 2
Source: RefSeq, a predicted model, not a curated record